RNAcentral lists this ribosomal RNA (401 nucleotides) under uncultured bacterium. RNAcentral describes it as "bacterial SSU rRNA". It matches the Rfam family "Bacterial small subunit ribosomal RNA", at positions 355 to 772 of the family's 1533-position model. The record is from RNAcentral.
UGGGGAAUCUUGCGCAAUGGGCGAAAGCCUGACGUAGCAACGCCGCGUGGGGGAUGAAUGCCUUCGGGUUGUAAACCCCUUCCAGCAGGAACGAAAUUGACGGUACCUGCAGAAGAAGCCCCGGCCAACUACGUGCCAGCAGCCGCGGUAAUACGUAGGGGGCGAGCGUUGUCCGGAUUUAUUGGGCGUAAAGAGCUCGUAGGCGGCUUGGCAAGUCAGGUGUGAAAACUUCAGGCUCAACCUGGAGAUUGCACCUGAUACUGCUAUGGCUAGAGUCCGGUAGGGGACCACGGAAUUCCUGGUGUAGCGGUGAAAUGCGCAGAUAUCAGGAGGAACACCGGUGGCGAAGGCGGUGGUCUGGGCCGGCACUGACGCUGAGGAGCGAAAGCGUGGGGAGCAAA